UUCUCAUACGCAGCUCAUGGGAAAUAUCGGUUUUGUUUUCAUUCCCAGUAUGCCAUAGUGGUUGGCAGUGAUGCUAGUCUUGUCCCUCCCUACUACCCAAACUACACCACAACAGUCAACUGUCAAUCACAAGUGAAGCUCUUUUUGAACGACAGUUAACCCAGUUCAACUCAGAAUCCAAAAUCCACUCUCUCUAAAUCUCUCCAACAUCAUUAGCUCCCUUUUUUUUUUUUUUUUUUACCCACACCCUUUGUAGACUUCUCAAGUAAAGUUCCUACAGCCUGUGCAACUGUCCUCAGAGGAUCAGAGGGAUGAUAACAAGCAUAUAUUUCUGAAUUGGGACAUGGUACAAGCCGAGCAAUAUGAGCCUGCAGAUUGAGCAAGAACAGCAGAGGCAGCCCCAAAAUGCUUUGUUCUUGUUCCCAUUUAGCCGGGAUGAAUGGGAUGCUAGCGAGAGGGGGACACGGUGGAUGAGAUGCUUGAGAUGAGACAAACCCGUCAGCGUAAUGCAGAGAAUCUUUAACAGACCUGUCCUUCUCAGGGAUAGGACGCACGUGUCAUAACACAUGAUCUUCAAGGUCUGGAUCCUGAAGAUAUUUGUGCCAAAGAGAGCGUGAGUCCACAGGUUGUCAGCUGAAGGUCAGAGGGCGAGCCGAUGUUAAGUCGUUGGAACCAAGGAAAGUGGAGAUGAUGCCGUUCUGGUCCACCUUUCGGAUCGUAGUGCCAUCAACGAAAUAAAUCAAACCAUUCUUGUCCACGGCAAUGCCUGUUGACAUCAGCUCCAUGAUACUUGUGACAUUGCCAGAUGGGUAGAUACGACGGAUGUAAUUGAAAUCUCCAACGUACAGACUACCAUCGAUGCCCCAAGCCAGAGCCACCGGCGCUAACAGCUUGUUGCCUUGGGCCUGCC
Molecule: long non-coding RNA, 910 nt
Organism: Scomber scombrus (Atlantic mackerel)
Lineage: Eukaryota; Metazoa; Chordata; Actinopteri; Scombriformes; Scombridae
Exons: 4
Source: RefSeq, a predicted model, not a curated record